AUGAACGCUGGCGGCGUGCCUAAUACAUGCAAGUCGAGCGAACAGAUGAGGAGCUUGCUCCUCUGACGUUAGCGGCGGACGGGUGAGUAACACGUGGAUAACCUACCUAUAAGACUGGGAUAACUUCGGGAAACCGGAGCUAAUACCGGAUAAUAUAUUGAACCGCAUGGUUCAAUAGUGAAAGACGGUUUUGCUGUCACUUAUAGAUGGAUCCGCGCCGCAUUAGCUAGUUGGUAAGGUAACGGCUUACCAAGGCAACGAUGCGUAGCCGACCUGAGAGGGUGAUCGGCCACACUGGAACUGAGACACGGUCCAGACUCCUACGGGAGGCAGCAGUAGGGAAUCUUCCGCAAUGGGCGAAAGCCUGACGGGGCAACGCCGCGUGAGUGAUGAAGGUCUUCGGAUCGUAAAACUCUGUUAUUAGGGAAGAACAAAUGUGUAAGUAACUAUGCACGUCUUGACGGUACCUAAUCAGAAAGCCACGGCUAACUACGUG
This 496-nucleotide ribosomal RNA is filed under the name uncultured bacterium. RNAcentral describes it as "partial 16S ribosomal RNA". It matches the Rfam family "Bacterial small subunit ribosomal RNA", at positions 29 to 507 of the family's 1533-position model. The record is from RNAcentral.